This 253-nucleotide ribosomal RNA is filed under the name uncultured bacterium. RNAcentral's name for it is "partial 16S ribosomal RNA". It matches the Rfam family "Bacterial small subunit ribosomal RNA", at positions 524 to 776 of the family's 1533-position model. The record is from RNAcentral.
UACGUAGGGGGCAAGCGUUGUCCGGAUUUAUUGGGCGUAAAGAGCGUGUAGGCGGCCAGACAGGUCCGUUGUGAAAACUCGAGGCUCAACCUCGAGACGUCGAUGGAAACCGUUUGGCUAGAGUCCGGAAGAGGAGUGUGGAAUUCCUGGUGUAGCGGUGAAAUGCGCAGAUAUCAGGAAGAACACCUAUGGCGAAGGCAGCACUCUGGGACGGUACUGACGCUGAGACGCGAAAGCGUGGGGAGCGAACAGG